GUGGCCGUAAUUCAGUGGUUGAAAAAGAGGAUGUGACCCUCUUGACGAUGGUUCAAUUCCAUCCGGUCACCCCA
RNAcentral lists this transfer RNA (74 nucleotides) under Desulfobacterales bacterium HSG17. Its description in RNAcentral is "tRNA-His". It matches the Rfam family "tRNA". Rfam says of the family: Transfer RNA (tRNA) molecules are approximately 80 nucleotides in length. Their secondary structure includes four short double-helical elements and three loops (D, anti-codon, and T loops). The record is from RNAcentral. Lineage: Bacteria; Pseudomonadati; Thermodesulfobacteriota; Desulfobacteria; Desulfobacterales.